CCUACGGGAGGCAGCAGUGGGGAAUAUUGGACAAUGGGCGAAAGCCUGAUCCAGCAAUGCCGCGUGAGUGAAGAAGGCCUUCGGGUUGUAAAGCUCUUUUACCCGGGAAGAUAAUGACUGUACCGGGAGAAUAAGCUCCGGCUAACUCCGUGCCAGCAGCCGCGGUAAUACGGAGGGAGCUAGCGUUGUUCGGAAUUACUGGGCGUAAAGCGUACGUAGGCGGCUUGGUAAGUCAGAGGUGAAAGCCCACGACUCAAUCGUGGAACUGCCUUUGAGACUGCUUCGCUUGAAGAUGGGAGAGGUUAGUGGAAUUCCGAGUGUAGAGGUGAAAUUCGUAGAUAUUCGGAAGAACACCAGUGGCGAAGGCGGCUAACUGGACCAUUCUUGACGCUGAGGUACGAAAGCGUGGGGAGCAAACAGGAUUAGAUACCCUGGUAGUCCACGCCGUAAACGAUGAUAACUAGCUGUCGGGGCUCUUGGAGCUUCGGUGGCGCAGCUACGCAUUAAGUUAUCCGUCCGUCGGGUAGGUACGGCCGCGAAGGUUAAACGUAACAAAGAAGUUAGACGGCGUGAGACGUGCCGAACGGACGACGACGAGGGAGUAGG
RNAcentral lists this ribosomal RNA (606 nucleotides) under uncultured bacterium. RNAcentral describes it as "bacterial SSU rRNA". The stretch from base 1 to 517 matches the Rfam family "Bacterial small subunit ribosomal RNA", at positions 338 to 873 of the family's 1533-position model. The record is from RNAcentral.